RNAcentral lists this ribosomal RNA (468 nucleotides) under uncultured bacterium. RNAcentral describes it as "bacterial SSU rRNA". It matches the Rfam family "Bacterial small subunit ribosomal RNA", at positions 28 to 507 of the family's 1533-position model. The record is from RNAcentral.
GAUGAACGCUGGCGGCGUGCUUAACACAUGCAAGUCGAACGAUUGAAGCUGGAGCUUGCUCCGGCCGAUUUAGUGGCGGACGGGUGAGUAACGCGUGGGUAACCUGCCUCAUACAGGGGGAUAGCAGUUGGAAACGACUGGUAAAACCGCAUAAGCGCACGGUGUCGCAUGACACAGUGUGAAAACACUCCGGUGGUAUGAGAUGGACCCGCGUCCGAUUAGGUAGUUGGUGAGGUAAACGGCCCACCAAGCCGACGAUCGGUAGCCGACCUGAGAGGGUGAUCGGCCACAUUGGGACUGAGACACGGCCCAAACUCCUACGGGAGGCAGCAGUGGGGAAUAUUGGGCAAUGGAGGAAACUCUGACCCAGCAACGCCGCGUGGAGGAAGAAGGUUUUCGGAUUGUAAACUCCUGUUGUUGGGGAAGAUAAUGACGGUACCCAACAAGGAAGUGACGGCUAACUACGUG